CUUUUGUGAUGAGAAAAAUUUUUCAGUUCUGCUUCUGCAAAAAUUUUGAAGAUAACAAAAAAUCUUACCAAAAACUCCUGAUCA
Penicillium steckii is the source of this 84-nucleotide small nucleolar RNA. NCBI's taxonomy places the organism in Eukaryota, Fungi, Ascomycota, Eurotiomycetes, Eurotiales, Aspergillaceae. The record is from Rfam.